AACGCACAUUGCGCCCAUUAGUAUUCUAGUGGGCAUGCCUGUUCGAGCGUCAUUACAACCCUCAAGCGCUGUAGUGCUUGGUGUUGGGGCAUCUGCUGCUUAUGGCAGGCCCUGAAAGAUAGUGGCGAGCUCGCCGUGACCCUGAGCGUAGUAGUUUACACCUCGCUUCUGUGGUUCAUAGCGGGUCUUCAGCCGUGAAAACCCCCUAAUUUUCACAAGGUUGACCUCGGAUCAGGUAGGAAUACCCGCUGAACUUAA
This 258-nucleotide unclassified non-coding RNA is filed under the name uncultured fungus. RNAcentral's name for it is "partial contains 5.8S ribosomal RNA, internal transcribed spacer 2, and large subunit ribosomal RNA". The record is from RNAcentral. Lineage: Eukaryota; Fungi.